UACGGAGGGUGCAAGCGUUGUUCGGAAUUAUUGGGCGUAAAGCGCGCGCAGGCGGCCUUAUAAGUCCAUGGGUGAAAUGCCGGAGCUCAACUCCGUGCGUGCCCAGGAUACUGUCGGGCUAGAGUGCGGAAGAGGCGAGUGGAAUUCCUGGUGUAGCGGUGAAAUGCGCAGAUAUCAGGAGGAACACCAAUUGCGAAGGCAGCUCGCUGGGACGUAACUGACGCUGAGACGCGAAAGCGUGGGGAGCAAACAGG
This 254-nucleotide ribosomal RNA is filed under the name uncultured bacterium. RNAcentral describes it as "partial 16S ribosomal RNA". It matches the Rfam family "Bacterial small subunit ribosomal RNA", at positions 524 to 776 of the family's 1533-position model. The record is from RNAcentral.